CACCGCGGUUAUACGAAAGGCCCAAGUUGAAAAACAUUCGGCGUAAAGGGUGGCUAAGGACCUACUCCAAACUAGAGCUGAAUUUCUUCAAAGCUGUUAUACGCUCAUGAAAACUAGAAAAUCAACCACGAAAGUGGCUCUAAUCACGCCUGACACCACGAAAGCUAUGACA
This 172-nucleotide ribosomal RNA is filed under the name Scarus obishime (yellowtail parrotfish). Its description in RNAcentral is "partial 12S rRNA". Lineage: Eukaryota; Metazoa; Chordata; Actinopteri; Labriformes; Labridae. The record is from RNAcentral.